ACGGGAGGCAGCAGUGGGGAAUAUUGCACAAUGGGGGAAACCCUGAUGCAGCGACGCCGCGUGAGUGAAGAAGUAUUUCGGUAUGUAAAGCUCUAUCAGCAGGGAAGAUAAUGACGGUACCUGACUAAGAAGCCCCGGCUAACUACGUGCCAGCAGCCGCGGUAAUACGUAGGGGGCAAGCGUUAUCCGGAUUUACUGGGUGUAAAGGGAGCGUAGGUGGCGUGGCAAGUCAGAAGUGAAAGCCCGGGGCUCAACCCCGGGACUGCUUUUGAAACUGUCAUGCUGGAGUGCAGGAGAGGUAAGUGGAAUUCCUAGUGUAGCGGUGAAAUGCGUAGAUAUUAGGAGGAACACCAGUGGCGAAGGCGGCUUACUGGACGAUAACUGACGCUGAGGCUCGAAAGCGUGGGGAGCAAACAGGAUUAGAUACCCUGGUA
Molecule: ribosomal RNA, 434 nt
Filed under: uncultured Clostridium sp.
Lineage: Bacteria; Bacillati; Bacillota; Clostridia; Eubacteriales; Clostridiaceae
Description: partial 16S ribosomal RNA
Rfam family: Bacterial small subunit ribosomal RNA
Source: RNAcentral